This 75-nucleotide transfer RNA is filed under the name marine sediment metagenome. Its description in RNAcentral is "tRNA-Met". It matches the Rfam family "tRNA". Rfam says of the family: Transfer RNA (tRNA) molecules are approximately 80 nucleotides in length. Their secondary structure includes four short double-helical elements and three loops (D, anti-codon, and T loops). The record is from RNAcentral.
CGCGGGGUAGCGCAGUGGGAGCGCGCUGGGCUCAUAACCCGGAGGUCGUCGGUUCAACUCCGACCCCCGCUACCA